This 1854-nucleotide long non-coding RNA is filed under the name Apteryx owenii (little spotted kiwi). RNAcentral describes it as "lncRNA (ENSAOWG00000012596.1)". The record is from RNAcentral. Lineage: Eukaryota; Metazoa; Chordata; Aves; Apterygiformes; Apterygidae.
CCACGCCAACGGCCACGCCGGGGGAGGGGGCGGCCCCGCGGCUGCCCCCGGGGGAAGGGGGGAGCCCUCCGCCCCCCCAGCUACGCAGCGAGUAACGAGCGGCGGCAGCCGCCGCCGCAGCGCUCUAAAGGGUUGUGGUUUUCUCUCUCCCUCCCUCCCCCUUUCCUGAGAUAAAAAUCUCAGGACAGCGGAGGCCGUAGCGUUGACGAGGCUAUUAAGAUGGUAUUUAUGGGGUAAUCGCUUAUUUUAACUGCCAGCCGCAUAAAAUUUAUCCUGAGGGGAGAGAAAAGAGAAAAAAAAAGAAAGACUCGUGGAAUUUUAUUAUUAUCAUUUACACUUAAAAAAAAAAAAAACUGUUUAACAAAUGGAAUUGGCGGUGCCUCCUGCCAGCGGUGGGUCAGGAGGGCUGGCGAGGGCGAGCUGGAGGGUGGCUGGUCAUCGGCGUUUCCUGGGGGGAGGCCCCACUGCCAGGGAGGGGCUCCCCCACGAGGCUGGGGAGCGGGGGCCCCCCAAAACCCAAAGGAGGAGACUCUGGUUUGGGGAGCGAUGUGGCAGGUCCACACUUGAGUGCCACCUGUGAGCAGCUCUGGUCUACAGCUGAGGGCUUGGGCCCAAAACCUAGAGGGAGCAAGCAGAGGUGGGGACACACAGGUGAGCAGGGCUCGAAGGGCAUCCCUCUCCCCAGAAAACACCACCGUGACCAGGCGAUUUGCUCUGUUUCUUUCAGCUGUUUCUCAUCUCCGUGUGCACGCUUGCUCCCAGUGCCACCUGAUCUCUCACCCAACCUUCACGUCGCAGGGAAUGGGAAAUGCAUUAGGUCAGUGAUACCUAGGAACAGCGUUUCUGUGCAGUAGAUCUGAGUGAGCAGAGGAAACCUGUGGUGAAAGAAAGCAGGUCUCUCCUGCCGUUUCCCUCCUCGAGUGCUUGGCCAUUCCUGCUGGUAUGGUAGACAGCCUGGGAGUGUAUUCUGUGUGGGGUUUGGUUUGGCCCGUUUUUCGCAAAUUUUGCCCUAAAGAUGUCUUCAGCUCUGCUGAUGUGAAUCGCAGACUUGCCCAAAGGCAGCUCUUCCAGCCAGCCCUGGGAGCCCAAUACUCAAACACGUGAGUGUUCAACAUACUGCGAAGCACUUGGGUAGUUUUGCAGCACAGGUCCUGUCACGUGCAUCAUUCCUGACACUGGGAAUACAGAGAAACCACCAGUGAAAGCAAUUGUGUGGGGGUUUUUUCCCCUGCAAAAUUAACGUGUGCUGGUUGUCAGAGCACCGUGUGCACGUCCCCAGGUGCAGCCCCUUCUCUGAAACCUUCCCCGAGGUCCUGCGAGGGACACAGACUGCUGCUCACUCCUGCGCUCAGAGAAAAUGGCAGGCACACAAAAUGACUUUUUGCCUCCUUUUCAAUUUAGUAGCCUCUUGGUGCUACUCCAGUAAUUACACCAGUAUGUGUCUUUGUAAGCUUUUUUUAUUAUCCCUGGUAUUCCCCGUGGCAAACAACCAAGGAAAACGUCAAUUUUCUAAAAUCGCCCUGGCUUAAGCUGGCCUCUGGUGAUGUAGUGUGGCCAUCCCUAAAGUGUACAGUGUAUAACUAUAAUCAAAAUAGGAUUAUUUCUUGUUUCCAGAACAAUUUCUUUAGCAGUAGUAAGAAAGAGACUGUAGGAAAGAAACUAUAGCACUGAGCUCCUAUUUUUUCUGUGGAUACAGGAAAGCAUUUUUUGAGGGUCUAUUAUAAAAAGUGUACUGGUAAAAUGCUUAUUUAACAAAACUUUACGUCUGCUACCUGGCUGCUGCCAGCAGAAAAAAACAUAUUCUCAGCCUUGAUGUUUCUACCAGUAGUUUGGCAUCUGCGAUGAGAACAGUAU